AGAGUGAACGCUGGCGGUAGGCCUAACACAUGCAAGUCGAACGGCAGCACAGUAGGAGCUUGCUCUUACGGGUGGCGAGUGGCGGACGGGUGAGGAAUACAUCGGAAUCUACCUUUUGGUGGGGGAUAACGUAGGGAAACUUACGCUAAUACCGCAUACGCCCUUCGGGGGAAAGCCGGGGACCAGCAAUGGCCUGGCGCUGAUAGAUGAGCCGAUGUCGGAUUAGCUAGUGUGAGGUAAUGGCUCACAAGGCGACGAUCCGUAGCUGGUCUGAGAGGAUGAUCAGCCACACUGGAACUGAGACACGGU
RNAcentral lists this ribosomal RNA (309 nucleotides) under uncultured soil bacterium. Its description in RNAcentral is "bacterial SSU rRNA". It matches the Rfam family "Bacterial small subunit ribosomal RNA", at positions 26 to 330 of the family's 1533-position model. The record is from RNAcentral.